This 35-nucleotide ribosomal RNA is filed under the name Quercus petraea subsp. petraea. Its description in RNAcentral is "partial 25S ribosomal RNA". The record is from RNAcentral. Lineage: Eukaryota; Viridiplantae; Streptophyta; Magnoliopsida; Fagales; Fagaceae.
GCGACCCCAGGUCAGGCGGGRCUACCCGCUGAGUU